AAUAUCAACCACUUUUACUUGCUGUGAGUCAAAGAAAACUGAAAAUGGUGGAAGUUUUAUUAAAGAAAAACACAAAUGUAAAUGCAAUUGAUUAUCUUAGCAGAUCAGCCCUCAUACUUGCUGUUAAUCUUGGAGAAAAAGAUAUAGUCGUUCUUCUUCUGCAGCACAAUACUGAUGUGUUUUCUCGAGAUGCAUAUGGAAAGACUGCAGAAGAUUAUGCAAUUGAGGCUAAGAAUAAAAUU
Molecule: long non-coding RNA, 242 nt
Filed under: Homo sapiens (human)
Lineage: Eukaryota; Metazoa; Chordata; Mammalia; Primates; Hominidae
Description: non-protein coding lnc-ITPR3-10:1
Source: RNAcentral